UACGUAGGUGGCGAGCGUUGUCCGGAUUUACUGGGCGUAAAGGGCGUGCAGGCGGUUUGUUAAGUGCAGGGUGAAAGCUCCCGGCUCAACUGGGAGAGGUCCUUGCAUACUGGCGAACUCGAGGGAGGCAGAGGAAAGUGGAAUUCCCGGUGUAGUGGUGAUAUGCGCAGAUAUCGGGAGGAACACCUAUGGCGAAGGCAGCUCGCUGGGACGUUACUGACGCUGAGACGCGAAAGCGUGGGGAGCAAACAGG
Molecule: ribosomal RNA, 253 nt
Filed under: uncultured bacterium
Lineage: Bacteria
Description: partial 16S ribosomal RNA
Rfam family: Bacterial small subunit ribosomal RNA
Source: RNAcentral